Molecule: transfer RNA, 51 nt
Filed under: Annona montana (mountain soursop)
Lineage: Eukaryota; Viridiplantae; Streptophyta; Magnoliopsida; Magnoliales; Annonaceae
Description: partial tRNA-His
Source: RNAcentral
CGGAUGUAGCCAAGUGGCUUACGGCAGUGGAUUGUGAAUCCACCAUGCGCG